This 194-nucleotide ribosomal RNA is filed under the name uncultured bacterium. RNAcentral describes it as "partial 16S ribosomal RNA". It matches the Rfam family "Bacterial small subunit ribosomal RNA", at positions 338 to 524 of the family's 1533-position model. The record is from RNAcentral.
CCUACGGGAGGCAGCAGUGGGGAAUAUUGGACAAUGGGGGCAACCCUGAUCCAGCGAUGCCGCGUGAGUGAAGAAGGCCCUCGGGUCGUAAAGCUCUUUAGGUUGGGAAGAAGGAUGUGGGGUGAAUAUCCCAGCAUUUUGACGGUACCAACAGAAUAAGCACCGGCAAACCCUGUGCCAGCAGCCGCGGUAAU